Non-coding RNA from Stegodyphus mimosarum, 73 nucleotides. NCBI's taxonomy places the organism in Eukaryota, Metazoa, Arthropoda, Arachnida, Araneae, Eresidae. The record is from Rfam.
GCCUUCGUGAUGUAGUGAUCAGCAUGCUCGACGCGUAACCGAGAGGUCCGUGGUUCGAUUCCCGGCGAAGGCG